UGAAGAGCAGGUUAGUAGAAUCCCCAUCUGAUUUCAGGAGUUGAGGGUCAAGCACUUUGUGUAGAAGGGCUGGGCAUGGUGGCGAACGCCUGUAAUCCCAGCACUUUUGAGGCUGAGGCAGGAGGACUGAGAUGAGUUCAAGGCCAGCCUUUGCAACAUAGUGAGUUCAAGACCAGCCCAAUCUCCAUAGAGAGCCUGACCUUAAAAAAAAAAAUUAUGUGGAAGGGAGCUGCCCACGUGCCCAUUUCCCCAGCUGUCUUCAAGGCCCACGUCCAGACUGCAGCAGGGCCCUCCACAUCAGCUGCAUCAAUUUAAAGGCUGCAACUCCCAGGGUUACAAUUGUUUUGAGGGCAUUGCACCAUGUUUUGUGUAACAGUGUCGGGCGGUAGCUUCAGAUAAUUAUAAACAGGUAUAUUCAGCUGCAUGAAAGCCCAAUGGGAUAUUCCCAAGCCAGGCAGGAUGUAGAAUUCUUCACUGUCCUGAGGACAUCCAGCAUCCGUGGCACCUGACCACACAAUGCCAGUGGAAACCCUCAUUCAUUUGGAUAACCAAAAAUUCCCCCCACAAAUUUUUUAACCAACUGCUGGAGGAUUGUCCACACACUGCUUCUCAGAUUUUGAAAACUUUAAACCUAGAUUUAUCUGUCCUCACACUCCCAAAAUCUGCUAAUAUUGUGAGUCUUUUCUCUACUCUCAUGGAUAACGCCUCCAGAAAAGCAGCAGCUACAGCAUAGACCAAGGAAAGACUGACCUUGGUUUUGCUUAGGAUGUUUCCAAUAGUUGCUCACCAUUUUUGGAAAACCACUGAAAGCAAAGCCUCUUGAGGUCAUGCCAAUACAUCCCAGUGCCUCAGUUGGCCUGGUAGCCGUGGUGGUCAGUGACUGCAUUCAUAUACAAGCAUGUGACACUUUCAAACGUUGUCUUGAUUACUUUUCUCAUUGCUGAGACAAAAUCCCCAAUACCCAAAGUUAAAGGAGGAAAGGUUUAUUGUAGCUCACACUUUGUAGACAUUUCAGUUCACAAUCAGCUGGCUCCAAGGCAGGGUGGCAUGGCAGAGGGACAUCGCGGAGGAGAAACAGUUCAUGUUGGGCAGAACGAAGCAAAGCAGCAAAGUAGUGAAGAAGCAGCAAUCAAAUGAUAGCAACCCUCUUUCUGUCCCUUAUAUUCUACCCAAGCUACACACCCUUAGGGUGGCUAGAACUCACACCCAGGAUGGGCCUUCCCAUUAUCCAUGCCCAGAACUAUGCCAAACCAAUCAGUGGACUAAGUGAAUAAUCACACACCCUUAAUCUCAGCAAGAGGAUCACACUGAAUCCAAGCAUCACACACUCUAGAUCUAGCCACUUCUGAGAAGCCCCCACCUACGACCACAUGAGGCUCUGGGGGGAGAGUGGACAUCUAGACACAAGUCAUAACAAAUGUCUUCAGAGCUAGAGUAUUUGCAUGCAGAUACACAGAGCUGUUGUAUAGCAUUUUCUCUUUAUUUCCUUGUAUUAUUAUUAUUGGGUUCUUUUUGGACAUUUUGACAUUUAACAUGGCAGAUGUUUAAAACUAUAUGUAGUAGGUAAUAUUAUUUAUGCAUUUAUUUCAGGUUAGUAAGGGGAUGUUAUAAAACAUUUGUUAUAAAUACAUGUUGUGUAGGAUAGAGUUGAGAAUAAGUUUAAGAGUUUGGCAGAUGUCAGCCUCAGUAGGAACAUUUUUCUGUUCAGAAUUAUUUUACUUUCCUUAAUAACAAACCUAGAGUAAAGGCCAAAGACAUGCAUUUCAUCAGGGUCAUCCGCCUUUGUUAUCAAGGUCCCAAUAGCAGCUGUGAUUCAGGCUCCUCCAUCUGCUCCCUCCACAAGCAUCGCACCUAGAUCUUUCUGCCCUCCAGGUGGGCAGCCCUAGAGAGAGAAAGUCCUGGAAGUAACAGAUGCACAGUCCUGGAGAGGACCCUCCUCCCCUCGAUAGUGGUCUUUUCUUUUGCUCUGGGCCAUUGAUUGCUUCUCCCAGGAUCUCUCUGUAUCCUUCCAUUUUUUCCUGAAGCCCUUGUAGCUCUGAAGAGCUCAUAUAAUUCCUGGGCCUAGAUCAAAUUCAAGACAAUUCCCUUUCCCCCAGGCCCAUGUCCCUUGAAAUAUCCCCCGGCAGGUCUGGCUCCAAUCAUGCAGUCACUGGGACCUAGCUGGCUAGGAGUGGUCUCCAAAGUAAUAAGCCUUCAGUCUCCAUGGCUACUGGCCAACAGCUGGGCACCUUCUCUGAGCCUGGAGCCAUUCUUCCACCUAACCACCCUGCAACCUUGCUCAGGCUGCAUGGAUUCAUGUUUGCUGUGGAAAACAGAGGAGCAGAAACAGGAGGUCUUCAUUUGGAUUCUGAGCACAGGGAUCUCCCUCAUGUUCCCACUUCUCUGGAUCUCGCUGGCUUAUCCUGUCACCAGUUCUGUGAACAGGCCUGCACUUCGCUGGGCUUGCCUCCCCUCUGACUGCCUUGAGGCCAGUUCCCAGCUUUGUCACUGCAUCCCAAAGAAAUAGAAUUCCAGCUCCAAAAGCGGUGACGGAUCAUGUGGAUUUUACUGGAGGUUUUGUGAAAUAACAGAAGUGUCAUAAAGCUCCCCCUAAGCUCCUUUCCCCAAGUUCUGCCCACAGCAGCUACACCUCCCUUCUCUGGCUCUCCAGCCUUUCUUCCUUGCCCUGUUUCCAUAGUGGCUGCAGUCCACGUGUAAAACUCCUUCAACCAGCUGGGUCUCCUGGCACAUGUCUAUAACCCCAGCACUCUGGAAGGCCACGGCAGGAGGACUGCAAGUUGGUGCCCAUCCUGAGCAACUUGGUGACUUAGUGAAACCCUGUCACAAAAUUAAAAAUUAAAAAUGGAUUGGAGAUGUAGUCCAAAGACAUAGGGUUCCAUCCCUAGGACUUGGAGGGAAAAAGAAGAACCAACCUGAACCAGAGAGAGGCUACCAGCAGGCCUUGGUUCAUCUCCCCAGCCUCUCCUAUCUCUCCUAAACACCUGUGGUACUUAGCAAAGGGAAGGGGGAGGGCUCUUUGCUUGUGUCCUGCCUAGAGUUUGCUCUGGUUUAAGGCUGGCCCCACUGCACCCUUCUGCCAUCCUACCCCAUCCUCCCUUCAUCUCUACAACUUUGCUUGAGGAUGUCCUUGUCAGCCCCACCCUGACCUGUAGGAGACCGUCAGUGACUAUCAAGGCCUUUGAUGAUGUUCCGGAGCAGGCGUGACUGCUAUGCAGGCAAGCUCAUGAGUCCUGGGAUUCCCCAGGGACAGACCCAGCAGCUCUACCUUCUUCAUGAGGCAGCUUCUGCACCAGCCUCAGCCCCUCCACCCACACCAGAGUCUGUACAAGAUGCUCUUCAUGUCCAUAAUCUGUAUAUGUUUGGGGGACAGGAGACAGUAGAAUGUGUCAUGCCAUAAAGCUCAGCCUCUGGGCUAUUCUGGGUUGUCCCAAGGCUAUCUGACCUUUGCUGGUACCUAUGGGGUGUCAGGAGAUCCAGCAAUCCCAAUGGGACAAACUUGUCACCUCAGAGACAAACUUGGGAGUGAUAUCUAGCCAGGUCCAAGGGCUGACUGAGAAGCCCAUCAGAUUAGGGCCUGGUCUGUUGAGAAUUUGACUUGUAUCACAUCCAGCUCCCUCUAUCUGUCACCCUCUGACUGCAGCUCUGAUUCAGAUUGUCUCCCUUUCUUCCUCCCUUCACUAAGAGCUGGAAUGCAGUUGCCCCUCCAGACUCUGGGAGGUUUAGCACUAUGGAAUGUCUAAACUGUUUCCACACUGACUGGCUUCAGCCAUCCCAGAUGCUGAAAGUUGUCACACACAAACACACACACACACACACACACACACACACACACACGAGAGUACCUCCCUAAGUGCACUAAUCUGGAGUUAUUGUACACUGGAACAGGGUACCUCCCUGUUCCCUGUGGUCAAGGUUCAGAGCUCUUAGCUCACAGAGACAUGGCUCGGGCAACUUGUAGUCUGACUUGGCUGCUGCUCCAGAAGUAAAUCCUGCAAGGAGGAUUCGAAAGGAGGAAACUGAACAAGAGUUCCCAAGAAGAACCAGGAAGGGAGUGGGGAUGGGAAGCAAGGAGAGUAAGGAUGGGCCACUGAGCAAUGCUACACAGAAGGUGACUUUAGCCAAUGCCACAGGGGACUUUGCAGGUCACCUAGGCCAUGUGUCAACACUGCCUGUCCAGGGAGCAGGGGAGCUGCAGGAUUAAUGCCCCUGCACCUAAACUACUGCCCUUGCCCCAUGUGUUUUCCCAAUACUUACAUUCUGUAUAUUUCCUUACAGUGGGUUCCAGGAGCCUGAGUUCAGUGUCUGGCAAAGAUGGAAUGGAGGCUGCUGAGGUGAAAGCUGGUAUGAAUUGCUGGGCCCACUGAGAAGUGUCAAGAAAGGCAAAGGCUAGGCGGGUUGGAUCCUGGUGUUCUGAAGACCCUCCCCUCUUCUGGGGCCUGUGGCUGCCGCUAGCAUUUCAGAGACCCUUGGACACUGACUCUGAGCUAACACAAUUUCUAGAGCUCCAGUUUGGCCCUGCAAUUAGCUGGUUCCAGCGGGAGUAUCAGUGGAAACCUCACCCUGAGUCUACGUCCUGGAAGCCCUACCCCUACCCUGCAGUCAUUUCCAUAGUUCCUGAAGGUGAAGUUGGAAUCUCCACCACCAGCAGCACCGAUCCUUGGCCUACGUGGACCCAGAGUUUUGUUUUUUUUUUUCCAAAGAAAACACUUAGAGUGGGUUCCUGGAUUCUCCUUCCCUGUUCAAACAAAAUAAAGGCUACAGUACAUCCACUAA
Long non-coding RNA from Heterocephalus glaber (naked mole-rat), 4773 nucleotides. RefSeq lists it as uncharacterized. NCBI's taxonomy places the organism in Eukaryota, Metazoa, Chordata, Mammalia, Rodentia, Bathyergidae. The record is from RefSeq and is a predicted model, not a curated record.